Molecule: ribosomal RNA, 333 nt
Filed under: Salmonella enterica subsp. enterica
Lineage: Bacteria; Pseudomonadati; Pseudomonadota; Gammaproteobacteria; Enterobacterales; Enterobacteriaceae
Description: partial 23S ribosomal RNA
Rfam family: Bacterial large subunit ribosomal RNA
Source: RNAcentral
GCUUAUGCGUUGUUGGGUAGGGGAGCGUUCUGUAAGCCGUUGAAGGUGGCCUGUGAGGGUUGCUGGAGGUAUCAGAAGUGCGAAUGCUGACAUAAGUAACGAUAAAGCGGGUGAAAAGCCCGCUCGCCGGAAGACCAAGGGUUCCUGUCCAACGUUAAUCGGGGCAGGGUGAGUCGACCCCUAAGGCGAGGCCGAAAGGCGUAGUCGAUGGGAAACGGGUUAAUAUUCCCGUACUUGGUGUUACUGCGAAGGGGGGACGGAGAAGGCUAUGUUGGCCGGGCGACGGUUGUCCCGGUUUAAGCGUGUAGGUGUGUGUUCCAGGUAAAUCCGGUU